GAUAGGCUAUCUCAAAUAUAGAUUUCAUAGUCGAGUCAAUCAAAUUGUGGUUGUUGGAGGAGUAGGUCGACCUCCGAGAUUCGUAGCCAUCAGAAUUGCUUGUUGAUCAUCUGAGCAUGAUGGAUGGACCUUGAAAUUACCAGCAUUGCACAUGUCAUGGCUAAGAAUAUACAAAUCUCAAACCAUAGAAACAGGAAUCUAUGUCUAGGAACUAAUAUUAACCAUAAUUGAGGAUAUAAUAUUUUGGCUAUGGAGCCGUUCUAGGAG
RNAcentral lists this long non-coding RNA (267 nucleotides) under Elaeis guineensis (African oil palm). Its description in RNAcentral is "long non-coding RNA (EGUI_LNC003251)". Lineage: Eukaryota; Viridiplantae; Streptophyta; Magnoliopsida; Arecales; Arecaceae. The record is from RNAcentral.